Molecule: non-coding RNA, 649 nt
Filed under: Clostridium tepidum
Lineage: Bacteria; Bacillati; Bacillota; Clostridia; Eubacteriales; Clostridiaceae
Description: bacterial LSU rRNA
Rfam family: Bacterial large subunit ribosomal RNA
Source: RNAcentral
ACACAGGUAGGUGAGGAGAGAAUCCUAAGGCCAUCGGAAGAAUUGCUGUUAAGGAACUCGGCAAAUUGACCCCGUAACUUCGGGAGAAGGGGUGCCUACGAAAGUAGGCCGCAGAGAAUAGGCCCAAGCAACUGUUUAGCAAAAACACAGGUCUCUGCUAAAGCGAAAGCUGAUGUAUAGGGGCUGACGCCUGCCCGGUGCUGGAAGGUUAAGGGGAACACUUAGCGUAAGCGACGGUGUGAACUUAAGCCCCAGUAAACGGCGGCCGUAACUAUAACGGUCCUAAGGUAGCGAAAUUCCUUGUCGGGUAAGUUCCGACCCGCACGAAUGGCGUAAUGAUUUGGGCACUGUCUCAACAGCAAAUCCGGCGACAUUGUAGUGCAAGUGAAGAUGCUUGCUACCCGCGAUUGGACGGAAAGACCCCGUAGAGCUUUACUGUAGCUUAGCAUUGAAUCUCGGUAUUGUCUGUACAGGAUAGGUGGGAGACUUGGAAGCUUGGGCGUCAGCCUGAGUGGAGUCAUCCUUGGGAUACCACCCUGACAGUACUGGGGUUCUAACCGGAGGCCAUGAAUCUGGUCACGGGACAUUGUUAGGUGGGCAGUUUGACUGGGGCGGUCGCCUCCUAAAAAGUAACGGAGGCGCCCAAAAG